RNAcentral lists this ribosomal RNA (253 nucleotides) under uncultured bacterium. RNAcentral describes it as "partial 16S ribosomal RNA". It matches the Rfam family "Bacterial small subunit ribosomal RNA", at positions 524 to 776 of the family's 1533-position model. The record is from RNAcentral.
UACGGGGGGUGCGAGCGUUGUCCGGAAUCACUGGGCGUAAAGGGCGCGUAGGUGGCUUUGUAAGUUUGCGGUGAAAGCCCGGGGCUCAACCCCGGGUCUGCCGUGGAUACUGCAAGGCUUGAGUACUGUAGAGGCAGGUAGAAUAUCGGGUGUAGCGGUGAAAUGCGUAGAUAUCGGAAGGAACACCAGUGGCGAAAGCGGCUUCCUGGUCCGACACCGACGUUCAGGCACGAAAGCGUGGGGAGCAAACAGG